Molecule: long non-coding RNA, 1339 nt
Filed under: Capsicum annuum
Lineage: Eukaryota; Viridiplantae; Streptophyta; Magnoliopsida; Solanales; Solanaceae
Description: long non-coding RNA (CANN_LNC016192)
Source: RNAcentral
GAAAUCAGGUUUUACUGGUCAACUUAAAGGCUGGUGGGAUAAUUAUCUUAUCCAAGACCAGAAAACCAAAAUCAUCCAGUCUGUAUAGUAGUACAUGACCAAAGAGAGUUAGAUGGUCGAAUCAGGCCCUUAUGCAAAAGAGAUUAGCCAAUCAUAGGCUAGAGAUAAUAAAGUGUAAAUUAAAAUUAAAAUGCAGAAAUUUAAAAAUAACCUUAAUAUGGAUGGACUGUGCUCAAAACCAAAAACUUUUAUUUCAAACCGAGAUAUAUAUUACAAUGGAAAGAGAGUGGUGGUUCUAAAACUUGUCUUUAAAAAAUGAAAAAUGUGCUCCUUAUAUAAUGGAUGCUCUAUACAAAAGACAAAGCAAGAAAUGACCUUUACUAUUCAUAAUCGACCUUUAGAGGGACAUCGAACCGGAUCGCUUCACUGUCGCACUAGGUACUUUUACUAUAUGUUAGUUAACCUUAGUCAUGAAUCAAUCUUAAACCAAGUCCCAACUACGGUCCUUCACGCCCACCUAGCUAAUCGGCCUUUACAGGGACAUCCGGCAUUAAUGUCAAAAUUGAACUCAUAAUUGCAGCAUCUUAACAUACAACCUCUGCAACAAUCGAGGUUUAUGAUUCUUAUUAAUAACAAGAUGCCAUUUCAUACAUGUAACAUAUUCUGUUAUAGUUCAACACUAGGAAUUUAGCCCAUCAUAGGCUAGAGAUAAUAAAGUUAAAAUUAAAAUUUAAAUGCAGAAAUUUAAAAAUAACCUUAAUAUGGAUGGAUUGUGCUCAGAACAAAAAGAUUUUAUUUCAAACCAAGAUAUAUAUUAUAAGGAAGAGAGAGUAGUAGUAGAGAGAAAGUGGUGGUUCUAAAACCUGUCCUUAAAAAAAUAAAAAAUGAGCUCCUUAUAUAAUAGAUGCUCUAUACAAAAGACAAAACAAGAAAUGACCCUUACUAUUCACAAUUGGCUUUUACUAUUUAUAAACGACCCUUGUUUUUUCAAAAAGCUAAGUGUCCUUUACUAUUCAUAAAUGACUCUUGCUUUUUCAUUAAGCUGUUUUCAUUUUGUCUGCCAUCAUAGCUUUUAAUAAUUUCAACAUUGGCGGGACCCUUCAUGUUCUUAUGUCAUUUUCCCCUUUGUUCUUUGCAGUGCUGGAAAAUUCUUCUAUGGUUGUUUGAAAUUUUCGCAAAUAAUCAUCCAGAUCUAUUUCUUCAUCACUCUGGAUAUCCUGCAGGUCACCAGCCAAGCAAUCCCCUGCAGAAGAGAUGGACAUAUCUGAAGUGUACUCCUGAUCAAGAUUUUUCAAUAAAUCCUUUUUGACUUCUUCCAUAUAGGAUGCCAAAAUCUCAG